Daphnia magna is the source of this 7040-nucleotide long non-coding RNA. RefSeq lists it as uncharacterized. The transcript has 4 exons. NCBI's taxonomy places the organism in Eukaryota, Metazoa, Arthropoda, Branchiopoda, Diplostraca, Daphniidae. The record is from RefSeq and is a predicted model, not a curated record.
UAGAUUGAUGACACCCUUUAAGGGACAGUUAUCUAACCAAUUAUUAGCUUGUUUGCCAAGUAAUCAUUACACGUUUUCUAAAUUAUCCAUCAUUUCUUCAUCGUCGAGAUUUCACUUUUACUCGGGUUAUCGUAAAAUCGUAACAACACACAGUUAGAUUCUGAAGAAAAACACAUCACAUCCACAAAAUUCUUUUAUCUAUCUUCCGGUACCAACUUUUGCAACUUACUCCCAAGUUUUAUACCGAUUACGUGUGCUAUCAUCGUCUGCUGUAUCUUUCAGAUUUAACUUGGAACAGACGUUACUCAAUAGACCGUUGCCGGGUAAACUUUUUGCUAUUGUGUGGAAUAAAAGACGAGAGUUUUCCCCCUCGAUGUCUUCUGAUGGAAAUGGGACACCGGCGCAUUGGACCCCGGCACACUAAGGAAUAAUUACCAACCACGCCCUAUUCACUGCUGCAAGGAUCUGUGCACUUGCACAGAAGCCAGACAGAAUAACAUCACACACAGGGGGUUCUAAUUGCGUUCGUUAUCAGCAACCAAGGGAGCAGUCAAAUGUGGAGAUAAUUGCGAAUAUACCACGAAACUCGAUGGGUUUUCGAAGCUACAGAGAAAACUGUUAACGUACACGGAUGUUUGUGGUGUUCGUCAAUCGUUUUUCCAUUAACGCUUUCUUUUGUGUUUAUUUGUAUUAAAACAACAACAAAGCGUGUCCUUGGUUUGCGGCAGUUAAACUCAGGAAUCACGAACGGCGUGCACGAAAAGUAGUGGGUACAUCAAAAUAUCCCCCGAGGUGGCGCUGUAUUCUAAUUUUGAAAAAAAAAAGGAGCAGACCUUGGGGGGUGGUUUACUGUUUGAUGAGUAAUUCGUUUGAACGAUAGCAGCAUUCAGUCACGCGGAAUAUUUUGUUUACAAGUUUGGCGGACGAAAGGUGUGGUAGACAUUCUAAUCAGAUUUUUUUUCUCUCAGGGUUGUUGACGUAAUUGCGGUAUCCAUAACUGUGUAUCUUUUAUAGUUUGUCGAUAAUUACACUUUGUAGAAUCUCCGUUUCACAUUCAGAGAAAAUCACGAAACGUAAACAAUUGAGCUUUUUUAUCAUGAUUUGAGCAUAGCAAGUGCGUAGAGUUUGCGGAGUCCAUCCUGAAAAUCAUAUUCUAAUGAGGCAGCCGUUAUGCAAGAACUUUCUAGAAGCAUUGAAGAUAAGCAAUUUAAUUGUUUUCAAAGACUUGACGAGGCAUUCACUAUUCAUAGAGACAAAAAUGUGUUGCUUUGAUGUUUCAUUUCGUUUGUCGAAUUCUAAAAUUUUGGGUGGGGCGUACUGAUUAGUUUACGGCUCUCUAACUUCUUCAUGUUUCUAUUGAUUACCAUACGACUGAAAGCGUGUUUAGCAUACGCAACAUUACCCGCUAGAGCUGCUCUUUAUAUUUUCUUACAAUCAAACAAGUAUAUAUGCACUGUGAUAUUGUAUUAUCCAGAAAUUCAAUUUAUGGCUCACGUCUGCUGAUAACAAACUUCCCUGUAACACAGACAUUUGUAUACGGGCUUGAUAAUCAGAGCUGUAUAGAUGAUUGUAUAGAAAACCAGUAUGAAUCAAUUUUGGAAAUGAUGCCAAAUUCCAUUCUUCCUUGUAUUUUAAACAUAUCGGUCCGCAGGUGAUAACGUGACCCAUAAAAGGGCGGCCUUGUCCCGAGAGUUUCAAAUUUCACGAUUUAAAAAAUCGUCGAAUUUUUUUUUUUAAAUUUGAGAAAUGUUGAUCCACAAAAAUCGGUUCGCCAUGAAAAAAGCCUUUAAAAAAUUAGGUUCAAGUUGAUUCGAUCGUCAUUAGCUUAAACUAGAGGUUAGUUGGGCUAUUCCGAAAAACAUUCCGAUUGCGGGUCAAGGCGCAUUCCUAAUGACAAACGUGAAUCUAAAUCCAGCAGUGGGCCAAAGAAAAUAAGAAAAGAGAAAGAUAUUUAAAGAUUGCCAUAUAUAAAAAGACCGUAAACAUUUUUCUUUUAAUAUUGUACGUGGUUUCACGUAAGAUGGCGCUGCAGUACAUGACUGGAGAUCAUUAGUUUUUUUUUGCCGUUGGAUGGAUGAGACGUGACUUUUUCUUUUCCGUAACGAAUAAAUCAUACUUUUCAAUCGACCAUGCCCAAAUCGAACCCACCUGCAGUUUAGAUUCAAAGACCCCUCCCAAAUAUAUUUAUUUUAUAUGGAAAGAUUUUGGUUUCGCCCUUGAGGGAUAAUCACACGAAUAUUUGUGGUACCUGAACUUUUUAUCGUGUUAUAGUCAAAGGAGGAAAACAAGAUCGGAUGACUAGUCAUCCAGUGGCGUUCAGCGUUACCUGCGAAAACGAACGAUAAAAUUGCUGCUAAAAUGGAAAAGAAAAAUUGGUUCAAGUUGUCGUCUUGGUAUUUAUUCGAUUUUCACUUGUGUCGAUAUAAACUGGUAGAAAGUGGGUCAUAACUUUGCAUUUCUGAUGGUUAUGCGAUUUUUUUUUUUAAAGAAAUAAAAUCAAAUGGCUCAUUUGGCAACUUCGUUCGGACGUGACGGCAUUCCUUUUCCUAUUGUAAUCCAACUUUUUAAUCUAAUAACGUAAAGAUCCGGUAAGUAACCAGGGAAAACGUUGCAGUCCAUACUGGAACAGCUUUCUGCAGAGUCGCAACAUUUGCCACGGUUUAGUAUUCCAAUCUGAUUUACCUGAACCGCCUUUACCUGCAUUUCUGUCAGCCGAUUGCAUCGAUUAUGCCACGUAUCUCAAAUUGUGAAUGUAAAAAAAGAACAGGAGCGUUUAGUGUUUUUCUGUAUUUAUUCAAGACGUUGAACAGCUGUGCCAAUCGGUUUGAAAUCCAAUAAAGUACGAAAUAAAAACAUUGAAAGUAAGGAAAUUGAAAACUUUCCCCUACCACUCAUUUUCCAAAAAGUUUAGUGGUUUUUCGACUUUCUCACGACCAAAGAAAAGUAUCGUUCAUUUUUUUUAUUGUCCCGCGUGAAAACACACAAACCCUCGGCAUUCACAACACCCCGUACUCUGUGUACAGUCAACGAAGUAAAGAAAAACACAGAAAUUGUUGUUAGAAUGGGCACUUUUUUUUCUUUCAAUUGAGUGGCUUCCAUGUUCGUUCUUGUGCGUGAAAGACAUUUUCGGUCACGUUUCCGGUUAUUGAAUCUUUGAUUACAAUCACUGAAAUGUAUGGAACGAUGUAGUCCGCGCUGACAACAUUAAGAAGCUUAUUUAUUUAUUAUGACGACAUUUUUUGAUUUGUCAUUCAGUGAACGUCAAAAGAAAAAUGACCCUCGACUUGAAUUAAAAUGCAACACGUAGCGUUCCCCUUCUAAAUUUUUGCUCUUUUUAAGAAUAAUCCAAAAAGUGAGUCAAGAAGAUGUUCAAGGAGAUACAACCUUUGUGAAAGAAUAACUUUCCUUUUGGACGUGUAAAGUGGUAAAACAUGAAUGAUGUACGUGAUUUCCCGGGAUUUUAUUCUUCUGAAUCUCUUUAUUGCAAAGACUUUAUUGUAGGUGAGGUAGCAUUUUUUUAAAACUCGAGUAAAAUAACAUUCGUUUUGCUGAAAUUCAAAAUGUCCUUGAUUGUUUCGUAAUUCAAAAGUUAGUGUCCUUUUUGUACAUAAUAAAAGAGGAUUUCCCUUCUAACAUUCGUUACAUCAAAAUGUAUUUAGGUUAGAUAAUGUUUAAUUGACUUUGAUUACAUUUUUCAUAGAGUAUAAUCCCAUUCAUUUGCAUAAUUUGCGCAAAUGUAACUUGGCACGUGUAGCCCUUAGGUUGGUAACAGAGAGGCAGGGGAAGAAAAAAAAAAAUAAUAGAUAAACCGCCAAAAUCGUGGGAAACCACGGGUAGGGAAACCAAAAUUUUGCAUAGUAUUCCUUAGGGGAAUUCGUUUUAAUAUGUUUACCCAAAGAAAAAAAAUUGUUCAAGGGCAACGAUUUUCAGGAAAAAGAUCAAGGACGUUGAGGAUGGGUACGCAAAUUCAAAAGCGAAAACCAUAUGCAAAUGAUCAAUUUCGUCAAAAAGCAACCACAAAUAUGAUAAGAAUUUACAUAAUUUGCUACAAUGAAGAAACACGUGGUGAGAGCAAUAAAUAAAUAUCUAACUACAUUUCUCAUUAAACAGCAUCCAAAUUGUAAAUGAUUUCUAGCCAAUGUAGAAGCGUAGAUGAAAGUGAACUGGAAUUUUGUUAAAAGAAUUAAACUUUCUCUAUGUUAAGCCCCAUAAAGUACGAGUAAUGUCUAUUGGUGUAUCAUAAAUUUCAUUUCUUUGGCAAAGUCAAAAAUUCUGAAAAGAUAAAAAAUGGCCGUCGUGCUGAACGAGAGACAAACAGAUGGCGUAGGGGAAAAGAGAGUUGUUCGUCUGGAGUAAGAAGUUGGUAAGAGAAACUGCAAAUGACUCCGCAACAACCAAAAUUUCCUUGGAUACUUCACGUAACCACAGUUGCUGUUGUUGGUAUGAUGUGCAAGUAAAAAUUUCUUGACGUCCGUCCGGCAGACCUUGGUCCAGAAACGUCACGGGUAUUUUCCCCCCAUCACAUUAAGAAAUGUUUUCAAAGUUGCUGGUUGCACUUCCAAAUACGUACGAAAGGAUGACGUUGUGGAUUUCUUUGACUUAACAACCGUUUUAUUGUAAUCAUGUUUCGUGUUAAGCCCUUGUUGUGUUCGUUUCGGCUGCUUGGCCAACGUCGGCUGCUAACUUUAUCUUUGAAAGCAAUCUCCGUUACGCUUUUAAGGAAAUGUUUAAACAAUAGAAAGCGUUUGUUUUAUGAUGUAAAAUUCAUUUUUUUGUCAUAGUCCACUGAUUUCUUAGGCUUAUUUUGUUGGAAUUUGAUGUUAAAUUGAAGGAAUCACCUGAACAAAUCCCUUUCCCGAUUUAGUAUUCUGUCAAAAGACCUAAUGGCUCGUGAAACACUAUCUGAUUUAAUCGUUCCAGACAGCAAUAUUUUAUACAUCUUUUAUUCAUAGAGCCAAUGCAUAGGGAUUCCUCAACAGGUGCUGUGUGGGUGUCAGACAUUGGCAAAGGGUGGCAAUAAGUUAUGAUCCAAGCCAGCUCAUUAGUCGGCUUAUGAAAACAAAAGACACCAAGACAGAGGCCGUACGUCAUUGAGGAUAACUGAUACUGUCUCUUGUCACACUUGUGUAGCGAGACGAUACCUAAACAGUCAGUUUUAAUAAUAAAUGCUUGGGGCUUUGUGUUUGCUCUUUUAUUAAUAGCCUAUAAAAAUAAACAAAAGAAAAAGCAAAGAAAUAUACAAGGCUUGUUAACUCACACGAGAUAUCACAUUACCUGAUUCUGUAUGCAACGAUGACGUAAAUAAAUCCAGUAAACAACAUCUGCACCCAUUUGAUUAAAUAUUUUGAACACACGAAAAAAAAGAAAAACAGAUUUUAUAUUUAUGACAUCGCACGGGAAAACCCAUCGAUUUUCAAUGAUCAUAUCAAUUCCGAACCAUGGGAUCUCGAGUUGAAUUUGCAUGCAAUUCACUAUGCGACGGGCAGUUGUUUUCGUUCCUUGGAGCUGCCUAGAUCAGCGAAAGCAUCGUGUUUACGAUCUGUACGUCAGCAAAGCGACUAUUUCAAGAAUUUUCGGGUGGGGGGUGUAGUUUGAUUCCGGCCGAAUCGUUGCCAAAACGGACCUCUCCAUCCUCCGAGUGGUUUGUACUUUUUCAGUGAUGGACGAUUGAUUUCCACAAAGCGUAAAUCCUGACAACCAUUUUUAUUUCCUGCUAGUUAUUCCUUUUACGUUUUAUUGGAUGCUAUAUGCUCUUCAUUGCUGGUUAUUGGUUGAAGCCGUGGCUGCCAUCUUUUGUUUCAAUUGGGGUGUCAAGCCUAUGGUUGGAAUGCCUGAAUUGCAAGAUGCCAUUCACGACCUUUAAGGCACAAUAUAAGACAGAUCAAUAAGUAUUUUUAUUGUAUGACGAUAUUACAGACUGCAGGAUGAUCCUUGUUCAUGACAAAGUUAGACAAUCUGUCACGUUUCUCUUGAGCGAAAUACUUUUGGUCGUCUGCAGCAACGAACUCAAUAUUUACCUCGUUUUUUUCAAGCAAAGAAUUCUUUGUAUUUUAAAAACCUUUACUACUGUUUGACAAAAGCAAAACGGUAUUUUUUCUAUUCUGUAAGGUUACAUAAAACUGGAUCAAAAAGUAUAAAACCAGUUUACAUUCUGUACUAAUCUCCUACUAGGAUGAUGACAUUCCUUUGAAAGCCAUUGUGACAUUAACAAUCUCUUUGCUCCGAAUUUGGAAUAGAAAAAAAGGGAAAGUAAAAAAGAUCGAAAGGUCGAGCCAAGAAGAUUUGGAUUCUCCAUUGAUUGAAUUUAAGGUACCAGAGAGACAACCUGCACGGUGGAGAAGUGUUCUUAUCCUGUGGCGGUUACAAAACACAUUACUGCACGUGGAUUAAAUCCAAGACGACAAUCGAUCGAUGGUGCAUCUGCAAAAGAAUGUCUCAAACAUACUUGUGUCCGUAGAAAUUGCGUUAUUUUCAGUCGUGCCGUUUGAAAUGGAUAAAACUCAAAAGUACAGGAAAAUAUUGGAAUGUUUCAGGAACUUUGUGACACACGUUUAUCCUCCGUGACACUGAAUUCACGGCCGAAGCCAACACCAACAAAAAGAAAGUACUUGCACAUGUUUUUCUUGAGAAUACCAUUACGCAGUGGAUGAAGAAUUCGCUGUGUCGAUAUGAAACUGGAAAUCUUGUACGUGUCUAAUUACAACAUUUAUGUAGCCGUAGAGGUUUCAAACAUGGAGUCAACCUUGAUAUUCUUUUCAUCCAAGAAUUGUUGUAGUAAAAUUCAAUAACGCCUUGGUGUCAAUGCAGAACGAAAUUUGAAUUUCCAAUCAUUCCAUUUACUCAGGGUGUUCCCGUGCGUUCAAGACGUCCAGUUACACAGCUCAUUUUACGUAUUGAUUGAGUGUCCAUUUCCCAGAAAGAAGCAAAAAGAGGCUUAACCGACGUAGGAGCGUUCAAGUGAAUCAAAGCUUUCAAAUGUCAAAUAUUUAGUUUUAUGUUAUUAACAUCGGAAAAUAAAUAUAGAAUUGUGUUUAAAGGUU